Centrocercus urophasianus (Greater sage-grouse) is the source of this 890-nucleotide long non-coding RNA. RefSeq lists it as uncharacterized. The transcript has 3 exons. The record is from RefSeq and is a predicted model, not a curated record. Lineage: Eukaryota; Metazoa; Chordata; Aves; Galliformes; Phasianidae.
CAGCUAUGUGCUCCGGUGGGCGAGGAAGAAGCUGAGUUAUGCCCUGUGCGGGGGGCAACAUAGAGACCAUCCAAUAAUUGGUGAGAUCAGACAAAGAUAAUCUGAACUGUUCUGUCCUGCAGCCAGCAGAACACUCUGAUGAUGGCUUGCAGGAUGAACAGGGGCCUGCAAAGCCAGUGCUCAUGGCUCCUGAACACAACUUCCCUCUCGAGAUCUGGGCCGCAUUUUUCCAGGAGCAUUCAGAAGAUCUCAAAUCAGCUCUGCAGCGGUUUCAACGAGAGAUCGAGGGGCUCUCCAGCAAGGAGUGUUAAUGAGCAUCUGAACUUCCAAGGAAACAAGGUGAUUAGGAUAAAAAAAUAAUCAGAACAAAUCCCCCUUGAUUGGAAUGAAAGGAACAAAGAAAUGACAAAAUGAUAAUGUUUUCGGGGAAAACUCCAAAGAGAACAUCUCAGAAGAACACAGAAAAAAGAUGUUGAGCUCCUGCAAGAGGGUGAAGAGGUAAAGGAAACAGCUGUCUUGAGAUGUAGAGUCUAGUUUGUUCGCUCAUAAUGAUCGGCAGGAACGGAGGAUACUUUUCUGAUUCUAAGUCUAGGACCAGCUGUCCUUUUUGGUGCUGAAUGUACCAAUAUGAAUGGAGAUGAUUACCACUCUUGAACUAUCCUAUAAAAAGAGUAAGUCUGGAGGCACUUUCUAAUGUAAAUACAUGGAAGAAAGAAAAUGAACUGGAAUAUUUUUUUACGAAAACAAGUACUGGAGCAUUGCAAGUCACAUUCAUACUCUUCCUGUGUCUUUGGCACAGACGUCUCUCCUUGUAUAACUUGAGUGAAAUGGGCUGUCAAUUCUGUUUGUGUGAGAAAAGUGUGGUUUCCUUCCAUCUAACCAUUGCCUCU